Molecule: long non-coding RNA, 3390 nt
Filed under: Phoenix dactylifera (date palm)
Lineage: Eukaryota; Viridiplantae; Streptophyta; Magnoliopsida; Arecales; Arecaceae
Description: long non-coding RNA (PDAC_LNC007593)
Source: RNAcentral
ACUAAAUAACACUAGUCUUGUUGCAUAUCAGCUGUCAUCUGUCACUUUUCAUUACAGUGGUCCCUAGUUUAUUUUACUAUAUUUUUGAUUCAGGAAAGUGUGGCUGAUGACGGUGAUGAUGAGUCUGAUAGGUCAAAGUCUGAAGUCAAUGAUGAGGAUGAAGAGGAAAGUGGAGAAGUAAGCUUCUUAGAGCUCUUCAAGUGAUUAAGAUUAUGUUGCAUUUUGUGAUAAUAAAUAUUGGAAACUUGUAAUAUAUUUCUUGUGCUUUUAAAUGCAUGUUGAUCACCUAAAUAAACAUUUUCCUGUCUAUUUAAAUUUUUAUAGUGGAUUUACCAUUUUCUAGUAUUAAGGUCUUCAUGCUUCCAAACUCGAUAACUAUGUUAUUAUAUGUCUAGACAACCAAAAUCUGUUGGAGGAAUUUUUAAGCAAGAUUUUCAGAUUUGAAGGACCUCAGUUCAUUGGACGAUGCACUAGUGCUACUUAAACAUAUUUCUUUUGCUUUUGACCAAAACAUAGAUUAUAAAUAGAUUUAAUGAAAUGUGAAGUUGGUUAUAGUUCAUGAGUCAAGCAUAUGGAUUGCCUUGGACGCGACUUAUAUGGAGCAGAUGGGAGGAGAGAGUGUGCGAUGGUGAUGGGCAUGUGUGAUAGGUCAUUUGCUUAGUGGGUAAUUUACUUGGUUGGAAUUCACUUAAUGGAUUAAAAGGGGUCUGUGUUCGUAAUUGUUGUGUGCAGGCCAUAAAUCUUUCAUUGGAGGUAGCUUUAUGUGGGAAAUGGAAAAUUUGUGCAGAAGGUAGGCUAAUCCUUGGUAUCUGCAGGUGACUCCAAUGUAAAAACAGAAGUCAAUGUGAAGUAUCCUAUGACAUUCCUGGAUUUUGUUAUUGACAUGACUUGAGUUGGCGGUCAUCACUUGAAGUGCUAAAAGAGGAAGAUUAGUGUGCCAAUGAAGAAUUCUAGAAUUUCAGAAAUUAAGAGGGUUUUUGUUCUUCUUUAAGGGCUCAUCAGUAGGUUCGAUCUUGAUAUUGGCGGGGCCUGGCACUAAUAGUGCUUAUUAGUUAGUGGAUAAUGAGAACUUUAAUAGUCACAUAAGUUAUGACUGGCCGCCAGAUGGUCUGGCUCAUGAAUGAGUAAGCUCACUCGUGUGAGUGAGUGAGACACUUUUGUAUGAGUGAGUUGGACAUCUUAAAACGUUGAGAAGGGACAUGAAGUUUACCAUGGGCUGAGCAAAGUGGAAGGAAUCCCUAGCACUAGGGAAAUGGAAGGGGCCUUCUCCAUGUCUUUUCAGCAUUUUCUGGCUAUUUGUUGUGCUUUGGGUGAUACUUGAUAAGAUCGGUUCUUGUUGAUAUUUACUUAUUAGAGCCUUUCAUGAGUAUGCCUUUUUUCUUUUUUUAGUACCCUAAAUCACUUACAGGUAUCUCCUGAGCCACUUGGAAGAGAUGUGCUUGGCCUUUCUUAAUAAAUAAAAAAAAGAAAGCACAUUAUUAAUGCAAUGAUGCAUUAUUUUUGUGAGAUGCUUUUCGACUUGGCAGGCAUAAGCUAGUGGGAUAUUUUUAAGAAUGCCUUUAGACUACUUUUUAGAGAACGAGAACGAAUUAAAUUUUGUGAAGUUUCUUUGGCUGGAGAGAAGUGCACUUCGUUGAGGUUUCUUUGUCAGCAUGUACAUUGGCUAAUAUUUUGUUGUGGCUUUAGCUUCACCCUUUCUAUGUGCUCUACAGAAAUUGUUGCUUCAGUUAGCGCUCUAUUUGCAAGUGCUGCAUCUUCUUUUCAUGUUUGGGCUGACUGUCUGUUUUUCGUUGACUUUACUGUGUCUGGGCUGUCCAACUGGAUAACGAACUGGUAUUAUUAUCUAACCUUGUGCUGAUUUCCACGAAUACUAGCUUGAAUCCAUGGCAUGUUAUACUUGAAUUCCAGGUCUGUUCAACAUAGUAUAGGGUGUCAUGCCAUGCAAGCUUUGGUGCCUUGACUGUCUUUUCAUAACCAAAGCGGCUAUUUUGUUUUUCUCUUAGUAUUUGUUUGGUUCGUGGGAAGCAUUUUUCCUCAGACUUGAAUGUUUAUUUUGGGAAGCUGAUGCUUGGAUAUAUGAUUCCUGAAAAAGUAGUUUUUGCAUAUUGGGUCGAUCAUGAAAAAGUAAUACAUCUUAGAGUAGUUUAUAUUUGAUUGAACAUCUACUUUCCUAGAAAAAUUGUGUAAAAUGCUUGUUAUACCUUUAAUAAAUAGAAAAGACCUUACCCCAUUCUAUCCAAAAGCCUAAGGGUAUUUUUGAAAAAAAAUAUCUCAAUUUUUAGCUGGUGGGGAUUAGAUUUUUUCAUGUCUGUCAUAGAUUUUUCUUUUCCAUGAAGUGUAGGAAUUUGAUUCCCAUGGGAAAGCUAUUGUCCCUCUUUUUCUUUUGAAAUUUCCAACCAAACAUGCGGCAUCUCUUCAUUUUUCUAUCGAUCCCACUUCCUCCCUCCUUUUCCCGCGAACCAAAUGUCUCUAUAAAUAAAAAUAUGCAUUGCAGUAAAAGUUUUCACUGUAGUUGAUAAAGUAAAAAAUAAAAAAAGGUUCAAAUUUUCCUGCAUGUUUCUCUCUGCAUGAAGAAUGAAUUUUGGCGCAUGCUAUUUAGGACAACUCACAUCCUCAAAGGUUUGCGAUUGCACCAUCUUUUGAACAUUAAUGCUGGGAAUUGUCUGUUCUAGUUUCUUUGGCUGGAGAGCAGUGCAAUUGGUUGAGGUUUCUUUGCCAGCAUGUACAUUGACUAAUAUUUUGUGGUGUCAGGUGGUUGGCUGUAGCAUCACUCGUUUCUAUCUGUUCUUCAGGAAUUGUUGCUUCAGUUAGCACACUAUUGGCGAAUGCUGCAUCUUCUUUCCAUGUGUUGGCUGAUUUGUCUGUUUUUCUUCUGAUUUUACUGUUUCUAGGCUCUCCAACUGGCUAAUGAACUGGCAUUAUGAUCUUCACCUUGUGCGUUGAUUUUCGUGAAUACUAGCUUAAAUCCAUGGCAUGUUAUGCUUGAAUUCCAGGUUUGUGGAACCUAGUAUGGGGCGUCACGCCAUGCAAGCUUUGGUGCUUUGACUCUCUUUGUAACCAAAGCAGCCAUUUUGUAUUUCGCUUAAAUAAAAAUAUGUUGCAGUAAAAGUUUUCACUAUAGUUGGAGAAUGAAUGUCGCAGUAAAAGGUGCAAUUUUUUCUGCAUGUUUCUGUCUGCAUAAAGAAUGAAUGUUGGGCACGCAAGUUACCACAACACUCAUGUCCUUAAAUGUUUGUGGUUACGACCAUGUUUUGUACAUUGAUGUUGGGAAUUGUCUGUUCUGAUGUGUGUCAUUGGCCAUCUGCAGGAGGAAGAAGAUGAGGAUGAGGAUUGAGAACAGGGACUUCAUGACUGGAUUACAGAGAGCCUGGAUACGGUAUGAGUGUGCCU